Molecule: ribosomal RNA, 497 nt
Filed under: uncultured bacterium
Lineage: Bacteria
Description: partial 16S ribosomal RNA
Rfam family: Bacterial small subunit ribosomal RNA
Source: RNAcentral
GAUGAACGCUGGCGGCGUGCCUAAUACAUGCAAGUCGAGCGAACAGACGAGGAGCUUGCUCCUCUGAUGUUAGCGGCGGACGGGUGAGUAACACGUGGAUAACCUACCUAUAAGACUGGGAUAACUUCGGGAAACCGGAGCUAAUACCGGAUAACAUGUUGAACCGCAUGGUUCAACAGUGAAAGACGGUCUUGCUGUCACUUAUAGAUGGAUCCGCGCCGCAUUAGCUAGUUGGUAAGGUAACGGCUUACCAAGGCAACGAUGCGUAGCCGACCUGAGAGGGUGAACGGCCACACUGGAACUGGGACACGGUCCAGACUCCUACGGGAGGCAGCAGUAGGGAAUCUUCCGCAAUGGGCGAAAGCCUGACGGAGCAACGCCGCGUGAGUGAAGAAGGUCUUCGGAUCGGAAAACUCUGUUAUUAGGGAAGAACAAAUGUGUAAGUAACUAUGCACGUCUUGACGGUACCUAAUCAGAAAGCCACGGCUAACUACGUG